AGGGUAUAGGGACUUCCAAGGGUCGACCAUUUACUAUUAAGGAAGUCAAGACUUCUUCCAUUGGCCAACUUGUGAGCAUAUUACACGAUGCUCAGAUGUGAAACCGUUGAUGCAAGUUGCUACCAGGAGGUAACAACUAGGGUAUUUAUGCCUCUCUGUGUGGGUGUCCAACUAGUCGCUGUAAAACAAACAUUACUAAAGGAAACCUCAUCUUUCAACUCAGAGCAUCAAAGAUUUUGAGGCUCCAUGAGGCUAAGAUUCAAGAGUUAUCUGAACAUGUUCAAAAAUGUCAUAUUGCUUUGACUGUUUCCAAAUGUGUGCACAACGAGGAAGGUGAGGCCUAUAGAAGUCAACGAAGCAAAACGGGAUGACAAAUGAAAUGUUUUAAGUGGAAGAAUAUUUGUAAUCAUACCAUCUACCAUUUUGGACCAAAUUCUGGCCGAGAAUGAUUUAGAAAUAAGAGGGGUUUGGUUGCCUAUAGGGAACUGUAGAUAAUAGGGUUUUCAUUUUCCAAAUUUUGCUUAUAUUAGUGGUCAAACCAAAUACGGAGUACAAUCCGUAUUCGGCUUUACCCUUAAUACCAACAACAUGAGUUAGGUGAACACCCCAUUGUGCAAUUUAAGGGAAACUUCCAACUAUCGUUAACCUAAACCCUUGUCUUAUUUUCUGGAUCAUUCUCAACUAAAUUGUUCCAAAAUGGUCAGUGAUGGUAUGGACACAAAUAUCCGUCCGCUUCAAGCAUUUCCUUUGCCAGCCCGUUUGGCUCGUUCACUUUU
Impatiens glandulifera is the source of this 776-nucleotide long non-coding RNA. RefSeq lists it as uncharacterized. The transcript has 3 exons. NCBI's taxonomy places the organism in Eukaryota, Viridiplantae, Streptophyta, Magnoliopsida, Ericales, Balsaminaceae. The record is from RefSeq and is a predicted model, not a curated record.